UACGGAGGGUGCAAACGUUGCUCGGAAUUAUUGGGCGUAAGGCGUACGUAGGCGGUCCAGCAAGUCGGGUGUGAAAGCCCUCGGCUUAACCGAGGAAGUGCAUUCGAAACUACAGGACUUGAAUACUGGAGAGGAUUGCGGAAUUCCCGGUGUAGAGGUGAAAUUCGUAGAUAUCGGGAGGAACACCAGUGGCGAAGGCGGCAAUCUGGACAGAUAUUGACGCUGAUGUACGAAAGCGUGGGGAGCAAACAGG
RNAcentral lists this ribosomal RNA (253 nucleotides) under uncultured bacterium. RNAcentral's name for it is "partial 16S ribosomal RNA". It matches the Rfam family "Bacterial small subunit ribosomal RNA", at positions 524 to 776 of the family's 1533-position model. The record is from RNAcentral.